RNAcentral lists this transfer RNA (73 nucleotides) under Canis lupus familiaris (dog). It matches the Rfam family "tRNA". From Rfam's summary of the family: Transfer RNA (tRNA) molecules are approximately 80 nucleotides in length. RNAcentral also lists the same sequence under 1 other name. The record is from Rfam by way of RNAcentral. Lineage: Eukaryota; Metazoa; Chordata; Mammalia; Carnivora; Canidae.
UCCUGGCUGGCUCACUCAUUAGAGCAUGGGACUCCUGAUCUCAAGAUUGUGAGUUUGAGCCCCAUGUCAGGGG